AAAUUAUUCAGGCCCAUGAUGUUGAUGUAAACAAAGCCUGGUUGCAUCAUCACUCUUCAUGUGUUCUGCAACACCGAAUAUUCGCAAAUGGAUGGACUGGUGCUUUAACAAAGUGACUUACAAGAAAGUGCUUACUGGAGAAGUAAUCUGCUGUGUCCAGAUCAGGCACCAGAUGGCGCUGUGCUGGCAGUGCCAGGAGAUAAUGGGGACAGAUCGGGC
RNAcentral lists this long non-coding RNA (219 nucleotides) under Sinocyclocheilus anshuiensis. RNAcentral describes it as "lncRNA (ENSSANG00000044390.1)". The record is from RNAcentral. Lineage: Eukaryota; Metazoa; Chordata; Actinopteri; Cypriniformes; Cyprinidae.